RNAcentral lists this ribosomal RNA (874 nucleotides) under marine metagenome. Its description in RNAcentral is "bacterial SSU rRNA". It matches the Rfam family "Bacterial small subunit ribosomal RNA", at positions 169 to 1075 of the family's 1533-position model. The record is from RNAcentral.
CCGGAUAAGUCUUUACGGAGAAAGCUUUAUGCACCAUUGGAUGAGCCUGCACUUGAUUAGUUUGUUGGUAGGGUAAUGGCCUACCAAGACUUUGAUCAAUAGCUGAUUUGAGAGGAUGAUCAGCCACAUUGGGACUGAGACACGGCCCAAACUCCUACGGGAGGCAGCAGUGGGGAAUCUUGCACAAUGGAGGAAACUCUGAUGCAGCGAUGCCGCGUGAGUGAAGAAGGCCCUUGGGUUGUAAAGCUCUUUCGUCGGGGAAGAAAAUGACUGUACCCGAAUAAGAAGGUCCGGCUAACUUCGUGCCAGCAGCCGCGGUAAUACGAAGGGACCUAGCGUAGUUCGGAAUUACUGGGCUUAAAGAGUUCGUAGGUGGUUGAAAAAGUUGGUGGUGAAAUCCCAGAGCUUAACUCUGGAACUGCCAUCAAAACUUUUCAGCUAGAGUUUGAUAGAGGAAAGCAGAAUUUCUAGUGUAGAGGUGAAAUUCGUAGAUAUUAGAAAGAAUACCAAUUGCGAAGGCAGCUUUCUGGAUCAUUACUGACACUGAGGAACGAAAGCAUGGGUAGCGAAGAGGAUUAGAUACCCUCGUAGUCCAUGCCGUAAACGAUGUGUGUUAGACGUUGGAAAUUUAUUUUCAGUGUCGCAGCGAAAGCGAUAAACACACCGCCUGGGGAGUACGACCGCAAGGUUAAAACUCAAAUGAAUUGACGGGGACCCGCACAAGUAGUGGAGCAUGUGGUUUAAUUCGAAGAUACGCGCAGAACCUUACCAACACUUGACAUGUUCGUCGCGACUUUAAGAGAUUAAAGUUUUCGGUUCGGCCGGACGAAACACAGGUGCUGCAUGGCUGUCGUCAGCUCGUGUCGUGAGAUGU